RNAcentral lists this ribosomal RNA (347 nucleotides) under uncultured eukaryote. Its description in RNAcentral is "partial 18S ribosomal RNA". It matches the Rfam family "Eukaryotic small subunit ribosomal RNA", at positions 592 to 975 of the family's 1831-position model. The record is from RNAcentral.
CAAUAGCGUAUAUUAUUGAUGUUGCAGUUGAAACGUUCGUAGUCGAAUCUUAUCUGCCAAAGCAUUGUGUCAUUUAUGAUGACAUAAUGCUCUCGGCAGAGAUUGUACAAGCAUGUCUGACCUUGUAUCUUACUUUGAGUGAAUCGGCGUGUUCCACGCAGGCAUGUGCCUUGAACGAUUUACCAUAGCAUAAUCAGAGUAUGGAACUGCUUCCUUGUUUGUUCGGAAGCUCUUUCGAUACUGAUAGGAACGGUUGAGGGCAUUCGUAUUCGACUGCUAGAGGUGAAAUUCUUUGAUUAGUCGAGGACGAACUAUUGCGAAAGCAUCUGCCAAGGACGUUUCCUUUG